UUCCCUGCGUAGUGCGUAUAGACUGAAUUUUUAGAACCUACAAGUUUUGGAGAAGGGAGCCCGGUCUCUAGAUAUGGCGUGUAUGCUUGCAUUUAUGUAAGAAACCCAUAAGUAUUUAGGAAGGCACCCACCUGUGUGAGUACAGGUCCAUAAAAAUUCUUCACCUUACGGCUUAGACGUGGGGC
This 185-nucleotide non-coding RNA is filed under the name human gut metagenome. RNAcentral's name for it is "6S / SsrS RNA". It matches the Rfam family "6S / SsrS RNA". Rfam says of the family: E. coli 6S RNA was the first non coding RNA to be sequenced, but its function was unknown until recently. The record is from RNAcentral.